UAAGCCAUGCGAGUUGAGAGGGGUAAGCCCUCGGCAUAUGCUCAGUAACACGCGGAUAUGCCCUUGGGUUCGGGAUAACCCCGGGAAACUGGGACUAAUACCGGAUAGAUCAAAGAAACUGGAAUGUUCUCUGGUCAAAAACUCUGGUGCCCAAGGAUGGGUCUGCGGCCUAUCAGGUAGUAGUGGGUGUAACGUACCUACUAGCCUACGACGGGUAAGGGUUGUGAGAGCAAGAGCCCUGAGAUGGAUUCUGAGACAUGAAUCCAGGCCCUACGGGGUGCAGCAGGCGCGAAAACUUUACACUGCGGGAAACCGCGAUAAGGGGACCCCGAGUGCCAGCACCUAGUGCUGGCUGUCCAGCUGUCCAAAUAACAGUUGUUAGCAAGGGCCGGGCGAGACCGAUGCCAGCCGCCGCGGUAACACCGGCGGCCCGAGUGGUAGCCGUUAUUAUUGGGUUUAAAGGGUCCGUAGCCGGCCUAUUAAGUCUCUUGGGAAAUCUGGCGACUCAAUCGUCAGGCGUCCAAGAGAUACUGGUAGGCUUGGGACCGGGAGAGGUGGGAGGUACUCCAGGGGUAGGGGUGAAAUCUCGUAAUCCUUGGGGGACCACCGAUGGCGAAGGCAUCCCACCAGAACGGGUCCGACGGUGAGGGACGAAAGCUGGGGGCACGAACCGGAUUAGAUACCCGGGUAGUCCCAGCCGUAAACGAUGCUCGCUAGGUGUCAGGUGCGGUGCGACCGCAUCUGGUGCCGCAGUGAAAACUUGAAGCGAGUCACCUGGGAAGUACGGUCGCAAGGCUGAAACUUAAAGGAAU
RNAcentral lists this ribosomal RNA (812 nucleotides) under uncultured archaeon. RNAcentral describes it as "bacterial SSU rRNA". It matches the Rfam family "Archaeal small subunit ribosomal RNA", at positions 45 to 865 of the family's 1478-position model. The record is from RNAcentral.